RNAcentral lists this ribosomal RNA (846 nucleotides) under uncultured bacterium. RNAcentral describes it as "bacterial SSU rRNA". It matches the Rfam family "Bacterial small subunit ribosomal RNA", at positions 24 to 879 of the family's 1533-position model. The record is from RNAcentral.
UCAGGAUGAACGCUGGCGGCGUGCCUAAUACAUGCAAGUCGAACGAGGUGCCUUUGUAGCAAUACGAGGGUAUCCUAGUGACGAACGGGUGAGUAACGCGUUGGUGACCUGCCCCAAAGUGCGGGAUAACAGUCCGAAAGGAUUGCUAAUACCGCAUGUGGUUCUUGGAUUUAGAAACCGAGCUCUAAAGGAGCAAUCCGCUUUGGGAGGGACCUGCGUCCCAUCAGCUAGUUGGUGAGGUAACGGCCCACCAAGGCUACGACGGGUAGGGGACCUGAGAGGGUGGCCCCCCACAAUGGAACUGAAACACGGUCCAUACACCUACGGGUGGCAGCAGUAGGGAAUAUUGGGCAAUGGGCGAAAGCCUGACCCAGCAACGCCGCGUGUGUGAUGAAGGCCUUCGGGUCGUAAAGCACUUUUCUGGGAGAUGAGAAAGGACAGUAUCCCAGGAAUAAGUCUCGGCUAACUACGUGCCAGCAGCCGCGGUAAAACGUAGGAGGCAAGCGUUAUCCGGAUUCACUGGGCGUAAAGCGCGUGCAGGUGGCGUGGUAAGUUGGGCGUGAAAUCUCCCGGCUCAACUGGGAGAGGUCGUCCAAUACUACCGUGCUAGAGAGCAGAAGAGGAAGAUGGAAUUCCCGGUGUAGUGGUGAAAUGCGUAGAUAUCGGGUGGAACACCAGUGGCGAAGGCGAUCUUCUGGUCUGUUUCUGACACUCAGACGCGACAGCUAGGGUAGUAAACGGGAUUAGAGACCCCGGUAAUCCUAGCCGUAAACGAUGUGAACUUGGCGUUGGUGGGUUAAACUCCAUCAGUGCCGUAGCAAACGCGAUAAGUUCACCGCCUGGGGA